This 497-nucleotide ribosomal RNA is filed under the name uncultured Glomeromycotina. RNAcentral describes it as "partial small subunit ribosomal RNA". It matches the Rfam family "Eukaryotic small subunit ribosomal RNA", at positions 591 to 1092 of the family's 1831-position model. The record is from RNAcentral. Lineage: Eukaryota; Fungi; Glomeromycota.
CCAAUAGCGUAUAUUAAAGUUGUUGCAGUUAAAAAGCUCGUAGUUGAAUUUCGGGACCAAUAUGUCGGUCGUGCUUCGGUACGUACUUGCAUUAUUGGUUUCUCCCUUCUGCAGAACCAUGAUGUCAUUAAUUUGGUGUCUUGGGGAAUCAGGACUGUUACUUUGAAAAAAUUAGAGUGUUUAAAGCAGGCAUACGCUUGAAUACAUUAGCAUGGAAUAAUGAAAUAGGACGUUUGAUUCUAUUUUGUUGGUUUCUAGGAUCGACGUAAUGAUUAAUAGGGAUAGUUGGGGGCAUUAGUAUUCAAUUGUCAGAGGUGAAAUUCUUGGAUUUAUUGAAGACUAACUACUGCGAAAGCAUUUGCCAAGGAUGUUUUCAUUAAUCAAGAACGAAAGUUAGGGGAUCGAAGACGAUCAGAUACCGUCGUAGUCUUAACCAUAAACUAUGCCGACUAGGGAUCGGAUGAUGUUAUUUUUGAUGACUCAUUCGGCGCCUUACG